GACGAACGCUGGCGGCGCGCCUAACACAUGCAAGUCGAACGGAGCUGAGAGAAGCUUGCUUUUCUUAGCUUAGUGGCGAACGGGUGAGUAACGCGUGAGUAACCUGCCCUGGAGUGGGGGACAACAGUUGGAAACGACUGCUAAUACCGCAUAAGCCCACGAUCCGGCAUCGGAUUGAGGGAAAAGGAUUUAUUCGCUUCAGGAUGGACUCGCGUCCAAUUAGCUAGUUGGUGAGGUAACGGCCCACCAAGGCGACGAUUGGUAGCCGGACUGAGAGGUGGAACGGCCACAUUGGGACUGAGACACGGCCCAGACUCCUACGGGAGGCAGCAGUGGGGGAUAUUGCACAAUGGGGGAAACCCUGAUGCAGCGACGCCGCGUGGAGGAAGAAGGUUUUCGGAUUGUAAACUCCUGUCGUUAGGGACGAUAAUGACGGUACCUAACAAGAAAGCACCGGCUAACUACGUG
RNAcentral lists this ribosomal RNA (468 nucleotides) under uncultured bacterium. Its description in RNAcentral is "partial 16S ribosomal RNA". It matches the Rfam family "Bacterial small subunit ribosomal RNA", at positions 28 to 507 of the family's 1533-position model. The record is from RNAcentral.